This 497-nucleotide ribosomal RNA is filed under the name uncultured bacterium. RNAcentral describes it as "partial 16S ribosomal RNA". It matches the Rfam family "Bacterial small subunit ribosomal RNA", at positions 28 to 507 of the family's 1533-position model. The record is from RNAcentral.
GAUGAACGCUGGCGGCGUGCCUAAUACAUGCAAGUCGAGCGAACAGAUGAGGAGCUUGCUCCUCUGACGUUAGCGGCGGACGGGUGAGUAACACGUGGAUAACCUACCUAUAAGACUGGGAUAACUUCGGGAAACCGGAGCUAAUACCGGAUAAUAUAUUGAACCGCAUGGUUCAAUAGUGAAAGACGGUUUUGCUGUCACUUAUAGAUGGAUCCGCGCCGCAUUAGCUAGUUGGUAAGGUAACGGCUUACCAAGGCAACGAUGCGUAGCCGACCUGAGAGGGUGAUCGGCCGCACUGGAACUGAGACACGGUCCAGACUCCUACGGGAGGCAGCAGUAGGGAAUCUUCCGCAAUGGGCGAAAGCCUGACGGAGCAACGCCGCGUGAGUGAUGAAGGUCUUCGGAUCGUAAAACUCUGUUAUUGGGGAAGAACAAAUGUGUAAGUAACUAUGCACGUCUUGACGGUACCUAAUCAGAAAGCCACGGCUAACUACGUG